UACGUAGGGUGCAAGCGUUAAUCGGAAUUACUGGGCGUAAAGCGUGCGCAGGCGGCUUUGCAAGACAGAUGUGAAAUCCCCGGGCUUAACCUGGGAACUGCAUUUGUGACUGCAUGGCUGGAGUGCGGCAGAGGGGGAUGGAAUUCCGCGUGUAGCAGUGAAAUGCGUAGAUAUCGGAAGGAACAUCAGUGGCGAAAGCGGCUUCCUGGUCCAGCACCGACGUUCAGGCACGAAAGCGUGGGGAGCAAACAGG
RNAcentral lists this ribosomal RNA (253 nucleotides) under uncultured bacterium. RNAcentral describes it as "partial 16S ribosomal RNA". It matches the Rfam family "Bacterial small subunit ribosomal RNA", at positions 524 to 776 of the family's 1533-position model. The record is from RNAcentral.